Lactuca sativa (garden lettuce) is the source of this 4201-nucleotide long non-coding RNA. RefSeq lists it as uncharacterized. The record is from RefSeq and is a predicted model, not a curated record. Lineage: Eukaryota; Viridiplantae; Streptophyta; Magnoliopsida; Asterales; Asteraceae.
UUUGUAUAUGGAUUGCAUUGUGUGUUAAUGGAUUGCUAUUCUUUUUAUUCUAUUUAUUUUUCUUUAUUCAUAUGUUGUUUAUUUGGAUAGAUUUAUCAUUGUUGUUAAAUGUAUCUUCACAAAUUACAUCAUAACGAAUGAUAUAGAACAAAAUAAAACUAAUAUUUUUUUAUUACACCAAUAUAAAACUAGUUAAUAAGCUGUUUGGCUACAAAAUCUUUUUCAAAUUUUUUGGCUGAGGUAAAAAAGGAAGAUUUUCAAAGUCGCAUUCUUCGUUUUUAUCGACUUAUAACUUCUUAAAUUACUUUUAUAUCCAACUCUCGUCUCUUCCCUGUAUCGCUCUCCUUCGCUACUCCAGCACAGCUCCUUUUUUCUCCACCGGCGAUCCUCCUCCUCCUCCGAUCAAGACCACCGCUGCCGGUGUCGGCGCCUACCUCCAUUUUGGAUCUGGGAAGUUAACUUAUUCUUAUUGAUUUGAGCGGACAGGAUGGAGGCCAUGUCCGUUGCAAUCCAUUCAAUGCUUUUCGUUGAUGCUGCAAUUCCACUUUAUCUAUGGAUACGCCGUCAAGCCUCCCAGAAGAACCUCAGAUUCAGACUUGUAUCUAGGUUUCUAAUGGUCAUCCAUGAGAACUGGAAGCUUAACACUGACUAGGGCACAACUCAAAAACUACUACUCUUCAUUGGUUGAAUUUGGUUUAAGUUGUAGGUUUUGUUUUGGAAAUCAAAGGGGCAAACCAUGAGUGAACACACAAAUAGGCGACAAGCAACAAUAAAUUGAGGAUAUAGGUGAUAUGGACGAUCUUAUAAGGACUUUAUCAUUUAUUACAUUAUGAUGUUUAUGCCCAUAAAAGAAGUAUAAAGAUGUCUAUCUUAUCUAUAAGAUGGAAAAACAUAUGAGUUUCUGUUUCCAACAUCAAAAUUGAUGAUGAUUGUUGUGACAUUCUUUGUGGAAUUUUUAGAAAGAGUGUUGCAUUUACGGGAUGCAUUAAAGUUGAAAAAGUUCGGUUUAUCAUGUCAUGCUUUCGAUAAUGAAUCUCAAAUGUAUUCAUGGAUUUCUUAUGCAAUCAGGCACAAAGUUGAUGAGAUUUUUUGACUGUUUUUAACGUAUCUCCAUCUUUUAAUUCUAGGUCUACUUUUAAGAGUUUAGCUGAAAAUAAGAAUGAUUUGUGAUUUUGAAAUUCUAUCUCAUGUUUCUUUUCCUUACGUGAAAACCUUGAGCAUAACUCUUGUUCAGUUUCUGGAUGAUGGUUAUAAAGAAAAAAAAUAUUUUUCUCAGACUGCCUAGUUCUACAAGAAUUGGAAGACUGCAAGUGGCCGUACUUAAAGAACAUUUUGAUUUCCAGUUUUACCUUAAAGAGGUUAACCAUACAUGAUCCAAUAUUUUUUAAUGCAAUUGAUGGUUUUUAUGGGGUUGAGAUAAAGAUUGAUGUCAAAUCUUAGGUAUUAUAAAUAUAAUGAACAUCUAGGACAUAAGAAUCUUUUGAGUAAUACAUCAUUCCUGGUCAAAGCGUGUAUUCAUAUUGCUAGUCUUGAAAAUACAUCUUGAGUUUAUGAUCUACUCAAUCAACUUCAAAAUGCCAUGAUGUCUUUGAUGGGAUGUGAUUUAACUUUUGAGGUAAUUGAUAACCUAAUUUAUAUUUUAAAUGGAAUAUAUGGAAAUUCGUCUUUUUGAACCAAGAUUGAUAAGCUGGCUUUUGCGUUUUGUGUCUUUUUUUUUCCCAUAAGAAGACUUUUAUUUGCAGAUAAUAACCAUCCUCUUAAGUUUCCAAAUUUGAUUCAUCUUGUGUUGAAUUUGGAAAUCCGGAUAGAUUGUUUCUUAACUCCUAGUUCCCGAGUUGUAGCAAAGAGAAAAAAAGAAGAGAAAAGAAAGUAAGGAGAGAAAAGAAGAAAGAAAAAAAAAGAAACGUCUUUUGUGUUCUUGAGUUUGAGAGAAGUGGAAGGAAAUUGAACAGUUUGUUCUUUCUCUCAAAAUCCUUCUAAAUUGAAAGAAAAGUUAGGAGGAAAAGUGAUCCUUCCAUUUUUUUCCACUUCUUUUAAUGAAACUCAAGAACACUAAUUUCUUUUAGUUUCUUCUCACUUCCACCAAUUUCUUUUUUUUUUUUUUUUUUUUUUUUCCUUUCGUUAAGUUGAACUUGGGAAGUGGGUGUAAGAGCACUACUGGAUUUGCUUUCCUUCUGUCUAAUUCUACAAUCUCUUUAUUUCUCAGGUGUAUUUGCUUUCCUUCUGUCUUGUUACUGUUUACUUUUUUCAGUUUUGGUAAAAGAGUAAUCCUUCUCAAAGAAACAGAGAUUGUAAUGCUCUUUACGAAACAAUCUAUUUGGAUUUUCCAAAAUCAGCACAAGAUGGGUCAAAUUUUGGAAUAUAGGAAAAAUAGGUAUUAUCUAUAAAUAAAAGAGUUUUAUCAUGGGAAAGAAAAACACAAAAGUUAGUCUAUCAAUCAAUCUUGUUCAAAGAUGCAAAUUUCUAUAUAUUUCAUUUAAUAUGUAGAUUAGGUUGUUAAUUACCUCCAAGGUAAGACCACAUAAUGUAAAGACAUUAUGACAUUUUGAAGUUGAUUGAUUAGAUCAUGAACUCGAAAUACAUUUUCUGCACUUGCCAUACGAAUCCAUGUUUUGACCGGGGACAAUAUAUUACUCAAGAGAUUCUUGUGUUUUAAAUGUCCAUUAUAUUUAUAAUACCUAAGAUUUGGUGUAUUAAUCUUGAUCUUAACUGCAUGAAAACCAUCAACUGCAUCAAAAAAAUAUUGGAUCAUAAAUGUUUAACCUCUUUAAGGUAGAUCUGGAAAUUAAAAUGUUCUCCAAAUAUAGACACUUGCAGUCUUCCAAAUCCAAUUCUUUUAGAACGAGACAGCCUGAGAGUUUUUUUUUUUCUUUCUAACCAUGAUCCAGAAACCGAACAAGAAUCAUGCGUAAGGUUUUCAAUCAUGGAAAAGAAACAUGUUUAUGUAAUUUCAAAAUCACAAUUCAUUCUUAUUUUCAGGCUAAGUUCUUAAACAUAGAUGUAGAAAUCACAGAUGAAGGCAUGUUAAAAACGAUCUCAGAAAGCUUCUUAACUUUGUGCCUGAUUGCAUAAGAAAUUCAUGAAUAUAUUUGAGAUUCAUUACCGAAAGCAUGACAUGAUAGCCAAAACUUUUUCAACUUUAAUGCAUCCCGUAAACGUAACACUUUUUCUACGAUUUCCACAAAGGAAGCCACACUCACAUCACCCUCAACUUCCCUAGCUCACAAUAAUUCACCAUCAAUUUUGAUGUUGGGAACAGAAACCCACAUGUUCUUCCAUCUUGUAGAUAAACCAGACGUUUUUAUAGGUUUUUUUUUUUUUUUUUUUUUUUUUUUUUUUUUUUUUUUUUUGUGGGUAUAAACGACAGAAUGUGAUGAAUGAUAAAAGUCUUGAUAUGAUCACCCAUAUCACCUAUAUACAUCAUCUAUUUCUUACCCAAUGUUACUUUGGCAACAUCUUUGUGAAAAUCAUCUAACCUAAUUGUUGGUAUCAACUUCACUAAGAGCAAUGAAUGGACGGUUCAAGUCUUUCAACAGAAAAAUUCUUCAUCAUAUUGGAGAUGAUUUAAAUUCCCUGUUAUGGUUUUGGAGAUGUAAGGUUCCACUAUCUAUCAUAUUAGUUGGAGUUGGAGCUGGGCCAUGUGAUAUGAUGAAAUAAUUUGAAGAUAAUAUCCUCUCUCGUGAAUUUGAUAAUUUGGAGGUCAACAUUUAUAUAAAAAGACGUGAAUGCCCUUGUCAUCCUAUAAUAUUGAUAUGAUGAAAGCAUUUGACGAUAAUAUCUUUGGAUGUUAGUUUGUGAAUUUAUCACACAAAUCAUGUCCAAGAAGAAUUCGGCUCCAAUCCGUAAAGAGACAAAAUAAGCAAUUGCACCUUUGAUGGAAAUUCUUGCUCAAUGUAAAGCAACACUCAGAACCGAAUAUAUUAGGGUAAUGGCAUUUGGUAUAUUAAAGGUAAAAUAAUUACUAAAAGGAAAGGGCAUUUUAGGCAAUUAGUGGAAAAAGAUAUCAUCUGCAAUUGGUAGGUACUCUUUGUAUUCUAAAUUUAGCAGGAGGUUAUGGGUGUAUCUGUAAGAAGGGUAUUUUUGUCAUUUUAGGAAUUAACUACAACUGCAGCUCGUUUGGAGUCUGCUUUCUAUUUGACAUUCUCAUUAUCUACAUGAGAUUAAGAAAAGAAUCAAAUUAAAUGGUAUUCUUGUCUUGAAA